RNAcentral lists this ribosomal RNA (252 nucleotides) under uncultured bacterium. RNAcentral describes it as "partial 16S ribosomal RNA". It matches the Rfam family "Bacterial small subunit ribosomal RNA", at positions 524 to 776 of the family's 1533-position model. The record is from RNAcentral.
UACGUAGGGCGCAAGCGUUGUCCGGAAUCAUUGGGCGUAAAGCGCGCGUAGGUGGCUUCGUAAGUCCGUUGUGAAAGUCAAAGGCUCAACCUUUGAAUGCCGAUGGAUACUGCGAAGCUAGAGUACGGAAGAGGCGAGUGGAAUUCCUGGUGUAGCGGUGGAAUGCGCAGAUAUCAGGAGGAACACCAAUAGCGAAGGCAGCUCGCUGGGACGUACUGACACUAAGGCGCGAAAGCGUGGGGAGCGAACAGG